RNAcentral lists this ribosomal RNA (134 nucleotides) under uncultured bacterium. RNAcentral describes it as "partial 16S ribosomal RNA". The record is from RNAcentral.
CCCUAGGGGAGGCAGCAGUGGGGAAUCUUAGACAAUGGGGCCAAGCGUGAUGUAGCCAUGCCGGGUAAGUGAAGAAGGCCUUAGGGUAGUAAUGUUUCGCCCAGAGAUAAUGACGGUACACAGAGAGCCGUUCC